AUGCCAACCUUUGCACUGACUGUUCUUCGAGUGCCAAAGAAACUACUCAAGGAGAUAGACAAAUGCCGACGUAGAUUCCUCUGGAAACAAGAUGAGGAGAUCACAGGUGGCAGCUGCAAGGUAAAUUGGUCAGCGGUGUGCACACCUACAACGCAGGGAGGACUAGGGAUCCUCGACCUUGAGCGUUUCAGCCGCGCCCUUAGAUUGCGGUGGCUCUGGAUCUCCUGGACCGAUCCGGAGCGGCCUUGGGUCGGCACGGAGCCGCCAUGCAACGACAGCGAUAGGGCCCUCUUCACGACAGCGACCACAGUCACCAUCGGGACGGUGCAACGACACUCUUCUGGCAUUCACCCUGGAUCGGGUCGGGCACCCUCGCCAGCUCCUACCCCCUCCACUACUCGCAUUCUAGGCGAAAAAACAGGACGGUGCGCGACGCCCUUACGGAUGAAACGUUGA
RNAcentral lists this ribosomal RNA (456 nucleotides) under Triticum aestivum (bread wheat). Its description in RNAcentral is "partial small subunit ribosomal RNA". The record is from RNAcentral. Lineage: Eukaryota; Viridiplantae; Streptophyta; Magnoliopsida; Poales; Poaceae.